UGGGGAAUUUUGGACAAUGGGCGAAAGCCUGAUCCAGCAAUGCCGCGUGUGUGAAGAAGGCCUUCGGGUUGUAAAGCACUUUUGUCCGGAAAGAAAUCCUUGGCUCUAAUACAGUCGGGGGAUGACGGUACCGGAAGAAUAAGCACCGGCUAACUACGUGCCAGCAGCCGCGGUAAUACGUAGGGUGCAAGCGUUAAUCGGAAUUACUGGGCGUAAAGCGUGCGCAGGCGGUUUGCUAAGACCGAUGUGAAAUCCCCGGGCUCAACCUGGGAACUGCAUUGGUGACUGGCAGGCUAGAGUAUGGCAGAGGGGGGUAGAAUUCCACGUGUAGCAGUGAAAUGCGUAGAGAUGUGGAGGAAUACCGAUGGCGAAGGCAGCCCCCUGGGCAAUACUGACGCUCAUGCACGAAAGCGUGGGGAGCAAACAGGAUUAGAUACCCUGGUAGUCCACGCCCUAAACGAUGUCAACUAGUUGUUGGGGAUUCAUUUCCUAGUAACGUAGCUAACGCGUGAAGUUGACCGCCUGGGGAGUACGGUCGCAAGAUUAAAACUCAAA
Molecule: ribosomal RNA, 555 nt
Filed under: uncultured bacterium
Lineage: Bacteria
Description: partial 16S ribosomal RNA
Rfam family: Bacterial small subunit ribosomal RNA
Source: RNAcentral